AUGGCUGAAGGGAGUGCGCAAUCCAGGUAUGUGAAGCUGACCAAGGAACAAGAGGCCCCAACUGAGGAUAUCAACCCUGGAGAGCUUAACCAACCCAUUGAAGUUCCACAGUUAAUUGUUGAGAGGUGUGUGGAAUGUGGGCAACCCUUGCCUGAAAGAUACCAGCCCCCAGCUGAUGAAGAUUGGACAACUGGGAUAUUUGGUUGCACUCAAGAUCCUGAGAGUUGCUGGACUGGACUUUUUUGCCCAUGUGUGUUGUUUGGGCGUAACGUUGAAACAAUACGAGAAGAAAUUCCCUGGAAUAAUGCCUGUGUUUGCCAUGCCAUGUGUGUUGAAGGAGGAAUUGUUGUUGCAACAGCAAGUGCAUUCUUUCAUGGUAUUGAUCCUAAGACGUCAGUUCUCAUCUGUGAGACAUUGCUAUUUGCCUGGUGGAUGUGUGCAAUCUACACUGGUCUAUUUAGGCAGUCAUUGCAAAAGAAAUACCAUCUCAAGGAUUCACCAUGUGAUCCAUGCAUGGUGCACUGCUGCCUGCACUGGUGUGCUUUGUGUCAAGAGCACAGGGAGAUGAAGGGUCACUUAUCUGACAAUACAACAAGCAUGGCAAUGACUGUUGUUAACCCACCGCCAGUUCAAGAGAUGAACUCCAGUGAGAAGAAGGACGACGCUGCAGCACCAUCUGCAGAGUCUUCCGGUGAAGAAAACACCAAUAAGGAGCUGGCGCUGCAGCCUAUGUAAGAUUAGCAAUUCUGCUAUGUACUAG
Fragaria vesca subsp. vesca is the source of this 760-nucleotide RNA transcript. It is a transcript of the gene named cell number regulator 6-like, with no coding region annotated. The record is from RefSeq and is a predicted model, not a curated record. The transcript is spliced from 4 exons. Lineage: Eukaryota; Viridiplantae; Streptophyta; Magnoliopsida; Rosales; Rosaceae.